UAGCCUCUACUAGGCUUUGUCUGUGCAUUCGAAAGCCGAUCAGACAUAGCCUAUAAGAGGUUAGG
Molecule: microRNA precursor, 65 nt
Filed under: Drosophila melanogaster (fruit fly)
Lineage: Eukaryota; Metazoa; Arthropoda; Insecta; Diptera; Drosophilidae
Also listed under: 1 other name
Description: Dme-Mir-282_pre stem-loop
Rfam family: mir-282 microRNA precursor family
Source: RNAcentral